GAGGAUGUAGCUCAGAGGCAGAUCACCUGCUUUGCAUGUGGGAGGUCCCGGGUUCAGUCCCCAGCAUCUCCA
RNAcentral lists this transfer RNA (72 nucleotides) under Opisthocomus hoazin. It matches the Rfam family "tRNA". Rfam says of the family: Transfer RNA (tRNA) molecules are approximately 80 nucleotides in length. Their secondary structure includes four short double-helical elements and three loops (D, anti-codon, and T loops). Further hydrogen bonds mediate the characteristic L-shaped molecular structure. tRNAs have two regions of fundamental functional importance: the anti-codon, which is responsible for specific mRNA codon recognition, and the 3' end, to which the tRNAs corresponding amino acid is attached (by aminoacyl-tRNA synthetases). tRNAs cope with the degeneracy of the genetic code in two manners: having more than one tRNA (with a specific anti-codon) for a particular amino acid; and 'wobble' base-pairing, i.e. permitting non-standard base-pairing at the 3rd anti-codon position. Lineage: Eukaryota; Metazoa; Chordata; Aves; Opisthocomiformes; Opisthocomidae. The record is from Rfam by way of RNAcentral.